This 497-nucleotide ribosomal RNA is filed under the name uncultured bacterium. Its description in RNAcentral is "partial 16S ribosomal RNA". It matches the Rfam family "Bacterial small subunit ribosomal RNA", at positions 28 to 507 of the family's 1533-position model. The record is from RNAcentral.
GAUGAACGCUGGCGGCGUGCCUAAUACAUGCAAGUCGAGCGAACAGAUAAGGAGCUUGCUCCUUUGACGUUAGCGGCGGACGGGUGAGUAACACGUGGGUAACCUAUCUAUAAGACUGGAAUAACUCCGGGAAACCGGGGCUAAUGCCGGAUAACAUGUUGAACCGCAUGGUUCUACAGUGAAAGGCGGCUUUGCUGUCACUUAUAGAGGGACCCGCGCCGGAUUAGCUAGUUGGUGAGGUAACGGCUCACCAAGGCAACGAUACGUAGCCGACCUGAGAGGGUGAUCGGCCACACUGGAACUGAGACACGGUCCAGACUCCUACGGGAGGCAGCAGUAGGGAAUCUUCCGCAAUGGGCGAAAGCCUGACGGAGCAACGCCGCGUGAGUGAUGAAGGUCUUCGGAUCGUAAAACUCUGUUAUUAGGGAAGAACAAAUGCGUAAGUAACUGUGCGCGUCUUGACGGUACCUAAUCAGAAAGCCACGGCUAACUACGUG